GCGGCGUGCCUAAUACAUGCAAGUAGAACGCUGAAGAGAGGAGCUUGCUCUUCUUGGAUGAGUUGCGAACGGGUGAGUAACGCGUAGGUAACCUGCCUUGUAGCGGGGGAUAACUAUUGGAAACGAUAGCUAAUACCGCAUAACAAUGGAUGACACAUGUCAUUUAUUUGAAAGGGGCAAUUGCUCCACUACAAGAUGGACCUGCGUUGUAUUAGCUAGUAGGUGAGGUAAUGGCUCACCUAGGCGACGAUACAUAGCCGACCUGAGAGGGUGAUCGGCCACACUGGGACUGAGACACGGCCCAGACUCCUACGGGAGGCAGCAGUAGGGAAUCUUCGGCAAUGGGGGCAACCCUGACCGAGCAACGCCGCGUGAGUGAAGAAGGUUUUCGGAUCGUAAAGCUCUGUUGUAAGUCAAGAACGGGUGUGAGAGUGGAAAGUUCACACUGUGACGGUAGCUUACCAGAAAGGGACGGCUAACUACGUGCCAGCAGCCGCGGUAAUACGUAGGUCCCGAGCGUUGUCCGGAUUUAUUGGGCGUAAAGCGAGCGCAGGCGGUUUGAUAAGUCUGAAGUUAAAGGCUGUGGCUCAACCAUAGUUCGCUUUGGAAACUGUCAAACUUGAGUGCAGAAGGGGAGAGUGGAAUUCCAUGUGUAGCGGUGAAAUGCGUAGAUAUAUGGAGGAACACCGGUGGCGAAAGCGGCUCUCUGGUCUGUAACUGACGCUGAGGCUCGAAAGCGUGGGGAGCGAACAGGAUUAGAUACCCUGGUAGUCCACGCCGUAAACGAUGAGUGCUAGGUGUUGGAUCCUUUCCGGGAUUCAGUGCCGCAGCUAACGCAUUAAGCACUCCGCCUGGGGAGUACGACCGCAAGGUUGAAACUCAAAGGAAUUGACGGGGGCCCGCACAAGCGGUGGAGCAUGUGGUUUAAUUCGAAGCAACGCGAAGAACCUUACCAGGUCUUGACAUCCCGAUGCUAUUUCUAGAGAUAGAAAGUUACUUCGGUACAUCGGUGACAGGUGGUGCAUGGUUGUCGUCAGCUCGUGUCGUGAGAUGUUGGGUUAAGUCCCGCAACGAGCGCAACCCCUAUUGUUAGUUGCCAUCAUUCAGUUGGGCACUCUAGCGAGACUGCCGGUAAUAAACCGGAGGAAGGUGGGGAUGACGUCAAAUCAUCAUGCCCCUUAUGACCUGGGCUACACACGUGCUACAAUGGUUGGUACAACGAGUUGCGAGUCGGUGACGGCGAGCUAAUCUCUUAAAGCCAAUCUCAGUUCGGAUUGUAGGCUGCAACUCGCCUACAUGAAGUCGGAAUCGCUAGUAAUCGCGGAUCAGCACGCCGCGGUGAAUACGUUCCCGGGCCUUGUACACACCGCCCGUCACACCACGAGAGUUUGUAACACCCGAAGUCGGUGAGGUAACCUUUUGGAGCCAGCCGCCUAAGGUGGGACAGAUGAUUGGGGUGAAG
This 1462-nucleotide ribosomal RNA is filed under the name Streptococcus thermophilus. RNAcentral's name for it is "bacterial SSU rRNA". It matches the Rfam family "Bacterial small subunit ribosomal RNA". The record is from RNAcentral. Lineage: Bacteria; Bacillati; Bacillota; Bacilli; Lactobacillales; Streptococcaceae.